CCUACGGGCGGCAGCAGUGGGGAAUAUUGCACAAUGGGGGAAACCCUGAUGCAGCGACGCCGCGUGAGUGAAGAAGUAUUUCGGUAUGUAAAGCCCUGUCAGCAGGGAAGAAAAUGACGGUACCUGACCAAGAAGCCGCGGCUAACUACGUGCCAGCAGCCGCGGUAAUACGUAGGGGGCAAGCGUGAUCCGGAUUUACGGGGUGUAAAGGGAGCGUAGACGGCAGUGCAAGUCUGGAGUGAAAGGCGGGGGCUCAACCCCCGGACUGCUCUGGAAACUGUACGGCUGGAGUGCAGGAGAGGUAGGCGGAAUUCCUGGUGUAGCGGUGAAAUGCGUAGAUAUUAGGAGGAACACCAGUGGCGAAGGCGGCCUACUGGACGGUGACUGACGCUGAGGCUCGAAAGCGUGGGGAGCAAACAGGAUUAGAUACCCGAGUAGUC
This 440-nucleotide ribosomal RNA is filed under the name uncultured bacterium. Its description in RNAcentral is "partial 16S ribosomal RNA". It matches the Rfam family "Bacterial small subunit ribosomal RNA", at positions 338 to 795 of the family's 1533-position model. The record is from RNAcentral.